AGGAUGAACGCUGGCGGUCUGCUUAACACAUGCAAGUCGAACGGAGUAGCAAUACUUAGUGGCGGACGGGUGAGUAACGCGUGAGAAUCUACCUUCAGGACGGAGACAACAGUUGGAAACGACUGCUAACCCCCGAUGUACCGAAAGGGCAAAUAUUUAUAGCCUGAAGAAGAGCUCGCGUCCGAUUAGCUAGUUGGAGAGGUAAAAAGCUCACCAAGGCGACGAUCGGUAGCUGGUCUGAGAGGACGAUCAGCCACACUGGGACUGAGACACGGCCCAGACUCCUACGGGAGGCAGCAGUGGGAAUUUUCCGCAAUGGGCGAAAGUCUGACCGAGCGACGCCGCGUGGAGGAUGACGCCUUUCGGGGUGUAAACUCCUUUUCUGCGGGAAGAUAAUGACGGUACCGCAGGAAUAAGCACCGGCUAACGUACGCGCCAGCAGCCGC
RNAcentral lists this ribosomal RNA (446 nucleotides) under uncultured bacterium. RNAcentral describes it as "SSU rRNA". It matches the Rfam family "Bacterial small subunit ribosomal RNA", at positions 26 to 518 of the family's 1533-position model. The record is from RNAcentral.